This is a non-coding RNA of Ciona intestinalis (vase tunicate), 529 nucleotides long. The record is from RefSeq and is a predicted model, not a curated record. NCBI's taxonomy places the organism in Eukaryota, Metazoa, Chordata, Ascidiacea, Phlebobranchia, Cionidae.
UUCACUACCUAACACAUUUCGGACAAGCUUCAGCAUAUGGCAUGUAUCCAAAAGCACAUAUACAGAUUUGCUCGUUCAGUUCCACUUAAACCAUCAAUGAAAAAAUAUCCCACAGGUACUUUCCAGCUGUCAUUUAUGCUAACCACCAUAAACACUAAUGCAUUCUUCGCAAUAGGACACUCAUCAUCUUCCGGAGCUCCACAGCCAAGAUCAACAUAGCCUCUAAAUUGUUGACCAUCCCAGGACACGUGUUUUUUGAUGGCCAUUUCAUCCAGCAUAAGGGCGCAUAUCACUUUCUUUUUAUUUUCUUUGGCACGAAGUACUUUGGCUGAUAAUGAUUGAAAUGCUGGAUUGGUAAACCCUGGACCGAGAGAUGUUGAUUCACAGUAUGGAUGAUCGUGCUUCACAGUGGAAAAUGUAUUAGUAUUUAUAUGCUGCUGUUCAAAUGAAGUUGAGGUUGAUGGAGAUGAUUCAUUCAUAAAACGUGUACUUGGUGGAGGUCUUUCUUUAUUUAGCUUUUUCAAAUGAA